Molecule: ribosomal RNA, 664 nt
Filed under: Pseudomonas sp. EVA5
Lineage: Bacteria; Pseudomonadati; Pseudomonadota; Gammaproteobacteria; Pseudomonadales; Pseudomonadaceae
Description: bacterial SSU rRNA
Rfam family: Bacterial small subunit ribosomal RNA
Source: RNAcentral
GAUAUGAACGCUGGCGGCAGGCCUAACACAUGCAAGUCGAGCGGAUGAAGGGAGCUUGCUCCUGGAUUCAGCGGCGGACGGGUGAGUAAUGCCUAGGAAUCUGCCUGGUAGUGGGGGAUAACGUCCGGAAACGGGCGCUAAUACCGCAUACGUCCUGAGGGAGAAAGUGGGGGAUCUUCGGACCUCACGCUAUCAGAUGAGCCUAGGUCGGAUUAGCUAGUUGGUGGGGUAAAGGCCUACCAAGGCGACGAUCCGUAACUGGUCUGAGAGGAUGAUCAGUCACACUGGAACUGAGACACGGUCCAGACUCCUACGGGAGGCAGCAGUGGGGAAUAUUGGACAAUGGGCGAAAGCCUGAUCCAGCCAUGCCGCGUGUGUGAAGAAGGUCUUCGGAUUGUAAAGCACUUUAAGUUGGGAGGAAGGGCAGUAAGUUAAUACCUUGCUGUUUUGACGUUACCAACAGAAUAAGCACCGGCUAACUUCGUGCCAGCAGCCGCGGUAAUACGAAGGGUGCAAGCGUUAAUCGGAAUUACUGGGCGUAAAGCGCGCGUAGGUGGUUCAGCAAGUUGGAUGUGAAAUCCCCGGGCUCAACCUGGGAACUGCAUCCAAAACUACUGAGCUAGAGUACGGUAGAGGGUGGUGGAAAUUUCUUGUGUAGCGGUGA